Molecule: long non-coding RNA, 431 nt
Filed under: Astyanax mexicanus (Mexican tetra)
Lineage: Eukaryota; Metazoa; Chordata; Actinopteri; Characiformes; Acestrorhamphidae
Description: lncRNA (ENSAMXG00005015591.1)
Source: RNAcentral
GUCUUUAACAUUACUUAUAAAAAUGCUCCGAAAGGGGACUUAACCCCUGAAGGCUGGGUGAGGAGCCUGAAGUUUCUUCAGCUGAGCCGUGACUCAUGAAGAGUGAGCACAGGUCCAACAGACAGGAAGCAUGGUGGUCCAGUCAUGGAGGAAAGUGGAGGUGGAAACCAAAAAUACAGCAUUGCAUUAUGGCAGGCCAGACCACAGCAUGGGAGCGCAUGAUUGGGCAGACAAGAAAGACGCUCCUCAACGUGCUCCACUGGGUUCAUAAAGUGCAUCUCAAUACUAGAAAUGCAGACACUGCGGAGAGGAGAAGAAGAAGGACCACCACACAAGUCCCCUGUGGUCCACUGAUGACAUGGCCACGCUGGGUGAAAUGUCACAGCAAGGUCACAGCUGAGCUCAGUCUGCAGAGAUUAUUCAGGUUUUAA